UACGUAGGGUGCAAGCGUUGUCCGGAAUUAUUGGGCGUAAAGAGCUUGUAGGCGGUUUGUCGCGUCUGCUGUGAAAUUUCGGGGCUCAACCCCGAACUUGCAGUGGGUACGGGCAGACUAGAGUGUGGUAGGGGAGACUGGAAUUCCUGGUGUAGCGGUGAAAUGCGCAGAUAUCAGGAGGAACACCGAUGGCGAAGGCAGGUCUCUGGGCCUUACCUGACGCUGAGGCGCGAAAGCUAGGGGAGCGAACAGG
Molecule: ribosomal RNA, 253 nt
Filed under: uncultured bacterium
Lineage: Bacteria
Description: partial 16S ribosomal RNA
Rfam family: Bacterial small subunit ribosomal RNA
Source: RNAcentral